This is a non-coding RNA of Pteropus alecto (black flying fox), 119 nucleotides long. The record is from Rfam. Lineage: Eukaryota; Metazoa; Chordata; Mammalia; Chiroptera; Pteropodidae.
GUCUAUGGCCAUGCUACCCUGAAUAAGCCCGAUCCUGUCUGAUCUCGGAAGCUAAGCAGAGUCAAGUCUGGUUAGUACUUGGAUAGGAGAUCCCCUAGGAAGACCAAGUGCUGUAGGUG